AGGUCACUGCUAUCGGGGUUCGAUUAAGCCAUGCGAGUCGAGAGGGUUCGGCCCUCGGCGUACUGCUCAGUAACACGUGGAUAACCUGCCCUAAGGAAGGGGAUAACCCCGGGAAACUGGGGAUAAUACCCUAUAGGUUACAGAUGCUGGAAUGCUCUGUAACUCAAAGUUCCGGCGCCUUAGGAUGGAUCUGCGGCCGAUUAGGUUGUUGUUGGGGUAAUGGCCCAACAAGCCAGUAAUCGGUACGGGUUGUGGGAGCAAGAGCCCGGAGUUGGAUUCUGAGACACGAAUCCAGGCCCUACGGGGCGCAGCAGGCGCGAAAACUUUACAAUGCGGGCAACCGUGAUAAGGGAACCUCGAGUGCCUGUAUAUGCAGGCUGUCCAGGUGUCUAAAACACACCUGAAGAAAGGGCCGGGCAAGACCGGUGCCAGCCGCCGCGGUAAUACCGGCGGCUCGAGUGGUGGCCACUUUUAUUGGGCUUAAAGCGUUCGUAGCUGGGUUAUUAAGUCUCUUGGGAAAUCCGGCGGCUCAACCGUCGGGCGUCUAAGGGAUACUGGUAAUCUUGGAACCGGGAGAGGUGAGGGUACUUCGGGGGUAGGAGUGAAAUCCUGUAAUCCUCGAGGGACCACCUGUGGCGAAGGCGCCUCACCAGAACGGCUUCGACAGUGAGGGACGAAAGCUGGGGGAGCAAACCGGAUUAGAUACCCGGGUAGUCCCAGCCGUAAACGAUGUGCGUUAGGUGUAUCGACGACCACGAGUCGUCGAGGUGCCGAAGGGAAACCGUGAAACGUACCGCCUGGGAAGUACGGUCGCAAGGCUGAAACUUAAAGGAAUUGGCGGGGGAGCACCACAACAGGUGGAGCCUGCGGUUUAAUUGGACUCAACGCCGGGAAUCUCACCGGAUAAGACAGCGGAAUGAUUGCCGGGCUGAAGACUCUGCAUGACUAGCUGAGAGGAGGUGCAUGGCCGUCGUCAGUUCGUACUGUGAAGCAUCCUGUUAAGUCAGGCAACGAGCGAGACCCACGCCAACAGUUGCCAGCACGAUCUCCGGAUCGGUGGGGACACUGUUGGGACCGCCUCUGCUAAAGGGGAGGAAGGAAUGGGCAACGGUAGGUCAGCAUGCCCCGAAUUAUCCGGGCUACACGCGGGCUACAAUGGGCAGGACAAUGGGUAUCGACAUCGAAAGGUGAAGGCAAUCUCCUAAACCUGUCCGUAGUUCGGAUUGUGGGCUGUAACUCGCCCACAUGAAGCUGGAAUCUGUAGUAAUCGCGUUUCAAAAUAACGCGGUGAAUGUGUCCCUGCUCCUUGCACACACCGCCCGUCAAACCACCCGAGUGGGGUUUGGAUGAGGCUGCGGUCGUUGCCGCAGUCGAAUCUAGGUUCCGCAAGGGGGGUUAAGUCGUAACAAGGUAGCCGUAGGGGAAUCUGC
This 1430-nucleotide ribosomal RNA is filed under the name Methanoculleus chikugoensis. RNAcentral's name for it is "16S ribosomal RNA". It matches the Rfam family "Archaeal small subunit ribosomal RNA". Lineage: Archaea; Methanobacteriati; Methanobacteriota; Methanomicrobia; Methanomicrobiales; Methanomicrobiaceae. The record is from RNAcentral.